This 304-nucleotide ribosomal RNA is filed under the name uncultured bacterium. Its description in RNAcentral is "partial 16S ribosomal RNA". It matches the Rfam family "Bacterial small subunit ribosomal RNA", at positions 509 to 809 of the family's 1533-position model. The record is from RNAcentral.
CAGCAGUCGCCGCGGUAAUACGAAGGGGGCUAGCGUUGUUCGGAUUUACUGGGCGUAAAGGGCGCGUAGGCGGACUGAUAAGUCAGGGGUGAAAUCCCGGGGCUCAACCCCGGAACUGCCUUUGAUACUGGAAGUCUUGAGUAUGGUAGAGGUGAGUGGAAUUCCGAGUGUAGAGGUGAAAUUCGUAGAUAUUCGGAGGAACACCAGUGGCGAAGGCGGCUCACUGGACCAUUACUGACGCUGAGGUGCGAAAGCGUGGGGAGCAAACAGGAUUAGAUACCCCCGUAGUCCCUGUCUCUUAUAA